RNAcentral lists this ribosomal RNA (389 nucleotides) under Cylindrotheca sp. Its description in RNAcentral is "partial small subunit ribosomal RNA". It matches the Rfam family "Eukaryotic small subunit ribosomal RNA", at positions 582 to 975 of the family's 1831-position model. Lineage: Eukaryota; Bacillariophyta; Bacillariophyceae; Bacillariales; Bacillariaceae. The record is from RNAcentral.
AUUCCAGCUCCAAUAGCGUAUAUUAAAGUUGUUGCAGUUAAAAAGCUCGUAGUUGGAUUUGUGGUGUACUUCGGCGGCCCGUCACUAUGUGAUGGAGCUUGCUGAAGUCGCCAUCCUUGGGUGGAUCCUGUGUGGCAUUAAGUUGUCGUGCAGGGGAUGCCCAUCGUUUACUGUGAAAAAAUUAGAGUGUUCAAAGCAGGCUUAUGCCGUUGAAUAUAUUAGCAUGGAAUAAUAAGAUAGGACCUUGGUACUAUUUUGUUGGUUUGCGCACCAAGGUAAUGAUUAAUAGGGACAGUUGGGGGUAUUCGUAUUUCAUUGUCAGAGGUGAAAUUCUUGGAUUUUUGAAAGACGAACUACUGCGAAAGCAUUUACCAAGGAUGUUUUCAUCG